RNAcentral lists this transfer RNA (99 nucleotides) under Amborella trichopoda. RNAcentral describes it as "tRNA AMTR_s00172t00274660". The record is from RNAcentral. Lineage: Eukaryota; Viridiplantae; Streptophyta; Magnoliopsida; Amborellales; Amborellaceae.
UAAUACUAGUAGUACAUACUAGUAGUACGUACUACUACUAGUGGUACAUACUAGUAGUAUUAGUACUAGUAAACCUAGUACGAGUAUUAGUAGUACUAG